Molecule: small nucleolar RNA, 137 nt
Organism: Tachyglossus aculeatus (Australian echidna)
Lineage: Eukaryota; Metazoa; Chordata; Mammalia; Monotremata; Tachyglossidae
Source: RefSeq, a predicted model, not a curated record
CCCCUCUCAGGAUGGCACCUGGAGAGUUUCCAGUACACUACCAGUCUCGGUUAUGGGAGGGAAAGUCAAGCAGAGGCGUACCCAUUUCAUUCUAGCUUGGGCAGUGGCUAGCGAGUUGAAGGAAUUCUGCUACACGU